RNAcentral lists this unclassified non-coding RNA (534 nucleotides) under Hevea brasiliensis (rubber tree). Lineage: Eukaryota; Viridiplantae; Streptophyta; Magnoliopsida; Malpighiales; Euphorbiaceae. The record is from RNAcentral.
AUAACAGCAGCUCCAAAACUCCUAGCAGGGUUGAUGCCAGUGCCAGUAAUUGGAAUAGUGGCAAGGUGAACCAUGAACACAGCAAAUCCAAUUGGAAGUGGAGCCAAGACCUACAUAUAAAUCCAAAAAUACACAAAAAUUGUUUAAACUAAACUGAUAUUUUACCAGUUAAUAAACAAGAGGGAUUAUGAUUUAAGUAAGAUAGAGCAAGAACAUACAGGAACAUGGGAGUCUCUGGCAUUCCUUUUGGGAUCAGUAGCAGAGAAAACAGUGUAGACAAGAACAAAAGUACCGAUGAUCUCAGCUCCCAAUCCAGUGCCUUUACUGUAACCAUCAGCGAGCUCAUUGGCUCCACCACCAUACCUAUUAUAAUAAGCCUUUUGGAAUGCCUUGACCAGCCCACAUCCACAUAUGGCCCCCAGGCACUGUGCUGCCAUGUACAAUACAGCUCGCACCAGAGACACUUUCCUCGCCAAAAACAGACCCAAAGUCACAGCAGGGUUUAUAUGCCCACCUGAGAUACCAGCAGUGCAG